RNAcentral lists this ribosomal RNA (164 nucleotides) under uncultured bacterium. RNAcentral describes it as "partial 16S rRNA". It matches the Rfam family "Bacterial small subunit ribosomal RNA", at positions 355 to 511 of the family's 1533-position model. The record is from RNAcentral.
UAGGGAAUCUUCCACAAUGGACGAAAGUCUGAUGGAGCAACGCCGCGUGAGUGAAGAAGGGUUUCGGCUCGCAAAACUCUGUUGUUAAAGAAGAACAUAUCUGAGAGUAACUGUUCAGGUAUUGACGGUAUUUAACCAGAAAGCCACGGCUAACUACGUGCCAG